RNAcentral lists this ribosomal RNA (545 nucleotides) under uncultured bacterium. RNAcentral describes it as "bacterial SSU rRNA". It matches the Rfam family "Bacterial small subunit ribosomal RNA", at positions 775 to 1320 of the family's 1533-position model. The record is from RNAcentral.
AGUCAAUAGAUACCCCGGUAGUCCAUGCCGUAAACGAUGAUUGCUAGGUGUGGGGGGUCUGACCCCUUCCGUGCCGGAGUUAAACACAAAUAAGCAAUCCACCUGGGGAGUACGGCCGCAAGGUUGAAACUCAAAGGAAUUGACGGGGGCCCGCACAAGCAGUGGAGUAUGUGGUUUAAUUCGAAGCAACGCGAAGAACCUUACCAGGUCUUGACAUCCACCGAAUCCUGUAGAGAUACGGGAGUGCCCUUCGGGGAACGGUGAGACAGGUGGUGCAUGGUUGCCGUCAGCUCGUGUCGUGAGAUGUUGGGUUAAGUCCCGCAACGAGCGCAACCCUUGUGAAUAGUUGCUACGAAAGAGCACUCUAUUCAGACCGCCGUUGACAAAACGGAGGAAGGUGGGGAUGACGUCAAAUCAUCAUGCCCCUUAUGACCUGGGCUACACACGUACUACAAUGGCCGUUAACAGAGGGAUGCAAUGCCGCGAGGUGGAGCGAACCCCUAAAAACGGUCUCAGUUCAGAUUGCAGGCUGAAACUCGCCUGCA